RNAcentral lists this ribosomal RNA (330 nucleotides) under uncultured Acidobacteriota bacterium. Its description in RNAcentral is "bacterial SSU rRNA". It matches the Rfam family "Bacterial small subunit ribosomal RNA", at positions 20 to 364 of the family's 1533-position model. Lineage: Bacteria; Pseudomonadati; Acidobacteriota. The record is from RNAcentral.
UGGCUCAGAACGAACGCUGGCGGCGUGCCUAACACAUGCAAGUCGAACGAGAAAGUGGAGCAGUCCAUGAGUACAGUGGCGACCGGGUGAGUAACACGUGACUAACCUACCCUCGAGUGGGGAAUAACUCCGGGAAACCGGAGCUAAUACCGCAUAACAUCGCAAGAUCAAAGCCGAAAGGCGCUUGAGGAGGGGGUCGCGGCUGAUUAGCUAGUUGGUAGGGUAAUGGCCUACCAAGGCAAAGAUCGGUAUCCGGCCUGAGAGGGCGCACGGACACACUGGAACUGAAACACGGUCCAGACUCCUACGGGAGGCAGCAGUGGAGACUUU